This is a non-coding RNA of Xylaria intraflava, 132 nucleotides long. Lineage: Eukaryota; Fungi; Ascomycota; Sordariomycetes; Xylariales; Xylariaceae. The record is from the annotation of a GenBank genome assembly.
UCCUCGGUGGCGCAAUUGGCUAGCGCGUCGUAAGUUCUACCUUUAGUGACUCCAGAUGGUCGAUGUUUUCUCUAACCAGUUUCGCAGUGACUGUUAAUCAGGAGGUUGAAAGUUCGAGCCUUUCCCGGGGAG